Acinonyx jubatus (cheetah) is the source of this 370-nucleotide long non-coding RNA. RefSeq lists it as uncharacterized. The transcript is spliced from 2 exons. Lineage: Eukaryota; Metazoa; Chordata; Mammalia; Carnivora; Felidae. The record is from RefSeq and is a predicted model, not a curated record.
UGUAAUUACAUGGAAAGGGAAAAAAAAGAAAAACCCUACUGAGAGACAAACAUACUGGAAACUAGAGACCUAGUCUGCAUUAUUUGAUGGUGAGACAGUGUUGAAAAAUGCCCUCUCUCUCAGUUGCAUAACAGCUUGGCAAACAAGAGACAGAGAAGUCAUCGGAGAAAUAAUGGCACCCAGACUACGGAAAGGGCUGUACACAGUCUUUGCCAUCACAGUGAGGUUCAGGGAUAAUCUUUGAUGUUCUAAAUGUGCUGCAGUGGCAAAAUCUUCAACCCUGCUUUCAAGAAUCUGGAGUCCCUGAUGAUCAGGAUUUGGGGAACCGUGUUUUCUUUGGAGAAGACUUGCAGAGCCCCUUGAAUCACAG